AGAGUUUGAUCAUGGCUCAGAACUAACGCUGGCGGCGCGUCUUAAACAUGCAAGUCGAACGGAAAGGCCCCUUCGGGGGUACUCGAGUGGCAAACGGGUGAGUAACACGUAGGUAAUCUGCCCCUUGGCGGGGGAUAACUCGGGGAAACUCGGGCUAAUACCGCAUAAGAUUGUCCGGUCUGCGGACUGGACUCUGAAAGUCUUCGGACACCAGGGGAUGAGCCUGCGGCCAAUUAGCUUGAUGGUAGGGUAAUGGCCUACCAUAGCGACGAUUGGUAGCCGGCCUGAGAGGGUGAUCGGCCACACUGGGACUGAGAUACGGCCCAGACUCCUACGGGAGGCAGCAGUUAAGAAUCUUGCGCAAUGGGGUAACCCCUGACGCAGCGACGCCGCGUGCGGGAUGAAGGCCUUCGGGUUGUAAACUGCAGUAGACAGGGAAGAAGAAAGUGACGGUACCUGUCCGAAGCACCGGCUAACUACGUGCCAGCAGCCGCGGUAAUACGUAUGGUGCAAGCGUUGUUCGGAUUUACUGGGCGUAAAGGGCGCGCAGGUGGGAUAUUAAGUCGGGUGUGAAAACUAUGGGCUCAACCCAUAGCCUGCAUCCGAAACUGGUAACCUGGAGUCUCGGAGAGGCAAGUGGAAUUCCCGGUGUAGCGGUGAAAUGCGUAGAUAUCGGGAGGAAUACCAAGGGCGAAGGCAGCUUGCUGGACGGUGACUGACACUGAGGCGCGAAAGUGUGGGGAGCAAACAGGAUUAGAUACCCUGGUAGUCCACACCCUAAACGUUGUCGACCAGGCGUUGGAGGUAUCAACCCCUUCGGUGCCGAACCUAACGGAUUAAGUCGACCGCCUGGGGACUAUGCUCGCAAGAGUGAAACUCAAAUGAAUUGACGG
Molecule: ribosomal RNA, 893 nt
Filed under: uncultured bacterium
Lineage: Bacteria
Description: bacterial SSU rRNA
Rfam family: Bacterial small subunit ribosomal RNA
Source: RNAcentral